This 473-nucleotide ribosomal RNA is filed under the name uncultured bacterium. Its description in RNAcentral is "SSU rRNA". It matches the Rfam family "Bacterial small subunit ribosomal RNA", at positions 26 to 518 of the family's 1533-position model. The record is from RNAcentral.
AGGAUGAACGCUGGCGGCGUGCCUAACACAUGCAAGUCGAACGUCCUGUCUCGCAAGAGGCAGGGAGUGGCGGACGGGUGAGUACCACGUGGGUUAUCUACCGUGAGGUGAGGAAUACCGGCGAGAAAUCGCCGACAAGACCGCAUAGCCUCGGUGCAAGUCGAGGAAAGCUCUCUCGAGAGAGGGAGCGCCACACGAGGAGCCUGCGCCCGAUUAGCUAGCUGGUGGAGUAAUGGUUCACCAGGGCGACGAUCGGUAGCUGGUCUGAGAGGACGAUCAGCCACACUGGGAUUGAGAACGGCCCAGACUCCUACGGGGGGCAGCAGUGAGGAAUUUUCGCAAUGGGGGCAACCCUGAACGAGCAAACGCCGCGUGCAGGAAGAAGGUUUUCGGAUCGUAAACUGCUUUUCUCGGGGAAGAGAACGGACGGUACCCGAGGAAUCAGCCCCGGCUAACUACGUGCCAGCAGCCGC